This 253-nucleotide ribosomal RNA is filed under the name uncultured bacterium. RNAcentral's name for it is "partial 16S ribosomal RNA". It matches the Rfam family "Bacterial small subunit ribosomal RNA", at positions 524 to 776 of the family's 1533-position model. The record is from RNAcentral.
UACAGAGGUCUCAAGCGUUGUUCGGAUUCAUUGGGCGUAAAGGGCGCGUAGGCGGCGGGGUAAGUCGGGUGUGAAAUCUCAGGGCUCAACCCUGAAACUGCACUCGAUACUGCUCUGCUUGAGGACUGGAGAGGAGACUGGAAUUCACGGUGUAGCAGUGAAAUGCGUAGAUAUCAAGCGGAACACCAGUGGCGAAGGCGAGUCCCUGGACAACUCCUGACACUGAGGCACGAAAGCUAGGGGAGCAAACAGG